GUGGGGAAUAUUGCGCAAUGGCCGAAAGGCUGACGCAGCGACGCCGCGUGGGGGAUGAAGCAUUUCGGUGUGUAAACCCCUGUUGCCCGGGACGAACAAGCGAUUUCGAUCGCUCUGACGGUACCGGGUGAGGAAGCACCGGCUAACUCCGUGCCAGCAGCCGCGGUAAUACGGAGGGUGCGAGCGUUGUCCGGAAUCACUGGGCGUAAAGGGCGCGUAGGCGGUGACUUAAGCGUGUGGUGAAAGCCCGGGGCUCAACCCCGGGUCUGCCGUGCGAACUGGGUCACUCGAGCACUGUAGAGGCAGGUGGAAUUCCGGGUGUAGCGGUGGAAUGCGUAGAGAUCCGGAAGAACACCGGUGGCGAAGGCGGCCUGCUGGGCAGUAGCUGACGCUGAGGCGCGACAGCGUGGGGAGCAAACAGGAUUAGAAACCCGUGUAGUCC
RNAcentral lists this ribosomal RNA (442 nucleotides) under uncultured bacterium. Its description in RNAcentral is "partial 16S ribosomal RNA". It matches the Rfam family "Bacterial small subunit ribosomal RNA", at positions 354 to 796 of the family's 1533-position model. The record is from RNAcentral.